GACGUAGGGCGCGAGCGUUGUCCGGAAUUAUUGGGCGUAAAGAGCUCGUAGGCGGUUUGUCGCGUCUGCUGUGAAAACUGGAGGCUCAACCUCCAGCCUGCAGUGGGUACGGGCAAACUAGAGUGCGGUAGGGGAGAUUGGAAUUCCUGGUGUAGCGGUGGAAUGCGCAGAUAUCAGGAGGAACACCGAUGGCGAAGGCAGAUCUCUGGGCCGUAACUGACGCUGAGGAGCGAAAGCAUGGGGAGCGAACAGG
RNAcentral lists this ribosomal RNA (253 nucleotides) under uncultured bacterium. RNAcentral's name for it is "partial 16S ribosomal RNA". It matches the Rfam family "Bacterial small subunit ribosomal RNA", at positions 524 to 776 of the family's 1533-position model. The record is from RNAcentral.